GAUCCUGGCUCAGAACGAACGCUGGCGGCAGGUCUUAGGCAUGCAAGUCGAACGGAUGACAAGGGAGCUUGCUUCCUUGAAGUCAGUGGCGCACGAGUGAGUAACGCGUGGGAAACUGCCCUUCACUGGGGAAUAACGUUUGGAAACGAACGCUAAUACCGCAUACGCCUGCAAGGGGAAAGAUUUAUCGGUGAUGGAUGUGCCCGCGUUGGAUUAGCUAGUUGGUGGGGUAAUGGCCUACCAAGGCGAUGAUCCAUAGCUGGUCUGAGAGGACGAUCAGCCACGCUGGAACUGAGACACGGUCCAGACUCCUACGGGAGGCAGCAGCUAAGAAUAUUGGGCAAUGGAGGAAACUCUGACCCAGCCAAUGCCGCGUGAAUGAAGAAGGCCUUCGGGUUGUAAAGUUCUUUUAGUCAUGAAGAUGAUGACAGUAGUGACAGAAAAAGCACCGGCUAACUUCGUGCCAGCAGCCGC
This 474-nucleotide ribosomal RNA is filed under the name uncultured bacterium. Its description in RNAcentral is "bacterial SSU rRNA". It matches the Rfam family "Bacterial small subunit ribosomal RNA", at positions 15 to 518 of the family's 1533-position model. The record is from RNAcentral.